GGACUGAACUGGGACGUCUGUUUCUACCUUCUCUGGCAGGCCUCCUCCAGAUGGUCCACCACCCUACAGGCUGCUGUGGGUCCUACGGGAAGACAGCAGAGCCUGGGAAGAUGCGGAGUGUCUGCAUGGGCAGGGCCCUGGCCACAGAGACUGGGACUUGGGACCUGGUUACCAACUCCAGAGGCCUGAGUCACAGGGGACGUGACACUUAGCCCAUUGCUGCUGGGAGUUCAGCCAUCUCCCUUUCAGGGUCGCUUGGCGCAGAUUCCAUGUUGCACACUGUGUCUAUGUUAGGCGUGCUUUCCCCAGAAGACACAUGUAAAUGCACAGACUUGAAUGGUUAACAAUGCCCUCUGGAGUUGUGCAAAGGGACAUCCGUACUACCACCAACACAGGAAUAUAAACUUCAAAAGUAGAAGAGAGUGACUGCUCGGUGAGCUCAGGGUCUCCUUUGGGAUGAUCAAGAUAUUGUAGAAUGGACGGAGGUGGUGAGGGCACAGCAUGUGCACACAUUAAAUGCCAGUGACUUGUGCACUUUAAAAAGUUUCAUUUUAUAUUUGAAUUUCAUCUCAAUAAAAAAAAAUUUUUUUUAAGUUUUUUUAAGGCACUCGAAAGGAAAGUACAAAUUGCUUUAAAAGAUUUCCCACAAGUCAGCCCUCUCUGACAAUGUGUGCGUUUCCCACAAUGCACCUCUCUCC
This is a long non-coding RNA of Bos taurus (domestic cattle), 698 nucleotides long. The record is from Ensembl. Lineage: Eukaryota; Metazoa; Chordata; Mammalia; Artiodactyla; Bovidae.